CCUACGGGUGGCUGCAGUGGGGAAUUUUGGGCAAUGCGCGCAAGCCUGACCCAGCGACGCCGCGUGAAUGACGAAGGCUUUCGGGUUGUAAACUUCUUUUGACAGGGAAGAAUAGAAGACAGUACCUGUCGAAUAAGCCACGGCUAACUACGUGCCAGCAGCCGCGGUAAUACGUAGGUGGCAAGCGUUGUCCGGAUUUACUGGGUGUAACGGGUGUGUAGCCGGGUUGACAAGUCAGAUGUGAAAUCCGGCGGCUUAAACGCAGAACUGCAUUUGAAACUGUUUAACUUGAGUACUGGAGAGGCAGACGGAAUGCUUAGUGUAGCGGUGAAAUGCGUAGAUAGUAGGAGGAACAACAGUGGAGAAGGCGGUCUGCUGGACAGCAACUGACGGUGAGGCGCGAAAGCGUGGGGAGCAAACAGGAUUAGAUAUCCUAUC
RNAcentral lists this ribosomal RNA (438 nucleotides) under uncultured bacterium. Its description in RNAcentral is "partial 16S ribosomal RNA". It matches the Rfam family "Bacterial small subunit ribosomal RNA", at positions 338 to 791 of the family's 1533-position model. The record is from RNAcentral.